GGUGGUUCUUGGGUGAUGCACCCCGGAAUCAGGCUCCCUUCUCUCUGGUUCCAGGUGCAUCACCACAGAACUGCA
Non-coding RNA from Myotis lucifugus (little brown bat), 75 nucleotides. NCBI's taxonomy places the organism in Eukaryota, Metazoa, Chordata, Mammalia, Chiroptera, Vespertilionidae. The record is from Rfam.